CGCUGGCGGCGUGCCUAAUACAUGCAAGUCGAGCGGACAGAAGGGAGCUUGCUCCCGGAUGUUAGCGGCGGACGGGUGAGUAACACGUGGGUAACCUGCCUGUAAGACUGGGAUAACUCCGGGAAACCGGAGCUAAUACCGGAUAGUUCCUUGAACCGCAUGGUUCAAGGAUGAAAGACGGUUUCGGCUGUCACUUACAGAUGGACCCGCGGCGCAUUAGCUAGUUGGUGAGGUAACGGCUCACCAAGGCGACGAUGCGUAGCCGACCUGAGAGGGUGAUCGGCCACACUGGGACUGAGACACGGCCCAGACUCCUACGGGAGGCAGCAGUAGGGAAUCUUCCGCAAUGGACGAAAGUCUGACGGAGCAACGCCGCGUGAGUGAUGAAGGUUUUCGGAUCGUAAAGCUCUGUUGUUAGGGAAGAACAAGUGCAAGAGUAACUGCUUGCACCUUGACGGUACCUAACCAGAAAGCCACGGCUAACUACGUGCCAGCAGCCGCGGUAAUACGUAGGUGGCAAGCGUUGUCCGGAAUUAUUGGGCGUAAAGGGCUCGCAGGCGGUUUCUUAAGUCUGAUGUGAAAGCCCCCGGCUCCCCCGGGGAGGGUCAUUGGAAACUGGGAAACUUGAGUGCAGAAGAGGAGAGUGGAAUUCCACGUGUAGCGGUGAAAUGCGUAGAGAUGUGGAGGAACACCAGUGGCGAAGGCGACUCUCUGGUCUGUAACUGACGCUGAGGAGCGAAAGCGUGGGGAGCGAACAGGAUUAGAUACCCUGGUAGUCCACGCCGUAAACGAUGAGUGCUAAGUGUUAGGGGGUUUCCGCCCCUUAGUGCUGCAGCUAACGCAUUAAGCACUCCGCCUGGGGAGUACGGUCGCAAGACUGAAACUCAAAGGAAUUGACGGGGGCCCGCACAAGCGGUGGAGCAUGUGGUUUAAUUUGAAGCAACGCGAAGAACCUUACCAGGUCUUGACAUCCUCUGACAACCCUAGAGAUAGGGCUUUCCCUUCGGGGACAGAGUGACAGGUGGUGCAUGGUUGUCGUCAGCUCGUGUCGUGAGAUGUUGGGUUAAGUCCCGCAACGAGCGCAACCCUUGAUCUUAGUUGCCAGCAUUCAGUUGGGCACUCUAAGGUGACUGCCGGUGACAAACCGGAGGAAGGUGGGGAUGACGUCAAAUCAUCAUGCCCCUUAUGACCUGGGCUACACACGUGCUACAAUGGACAGAACAAAGGGCUGCGAGACCGCAAGGUUUAGCCAAUCCCAUAAAUCUGUUCUCAGUUCGGAUCGCAGUCUGCAACUCGACUGCGUGAAGCUGGAAUCGCUAGUAAUCGCGGAUCAGCAUGCCGCGGUGAAUACGUUCCCGGGCCUUGUACACACCGCCCGUCACACCACGAGAGUUUGCAACACCCGAAGUCGGUGAGGUAACCUUUAUGGAGCCAGCCGCCC
RNAcentral lists this ribosomal RNA (1441 nucleotides) under Bacillus pumilus. RNAcentral describes it as "16S ribosomal RNA". It matches the Rfam family "Bacterial small subunit ribosomal RNA". Lineage: Bacteria; Bacillati; Bacillota; Bacilli; Caryophanales; Bacillaceae. The record is from RNAcentral.